UACGUAGGGUGCAAGCGUUAAUCGGAAUUACUGGGCGUAAAGCGUGCGCAGGCGGUUUUGUAAGUCAGAUGUGAAAUCCCCGGGCUUAACCUGGGAACUGCGUUUGAAACUACAAGGCUAGAGUGUGGCAGAGGGGGGUGGAAUUCCAGGUGUAGCGGUGAAAUGCGUAGAGAUCUGGAGGAACACCGAUGGCGAAGGCAGCCUUCUGGGCCAACACUGACGCUCAUGCACGAAAGCGUGGGGAGCAAACAGG
This 253-nucleotide ribosomal RNA is filed under the name uncultured bacterium. RNAcentral's name for it is "partial 16S ribosomal RNA". It matches the Rfam family "Bacterial small subunit ribosomal RNA", at positions 524 to 776 of the family's 1533-position model. The record is from RNAcentral.